AGGCUUAGCUCCCCCAAGAGUCCACAUCGACGGGGAGGUUUGGCACCUCGAUGUCGGCUCAUCACAUCCUGGGGCUGUAGUAGGUCCCAAGGGUUGGGCUGUUCGCCCAUUAAAGUGGUACGCGAGCGGGGUUCAGAACGUCGUGAGACAGUUCGGUCCCUAUCCGUCGCAGGCGUAGGAAAUUUGAGAAGACCUGUCCUUAGUACGAG
This 209-nucleotide ribosomal RNA is filed under the name Clostridioides difficile. RNAcentral's name for it is "partial 23S ribosomal RNA". It matches the Rfam family "Bacterial large subunit ribosomal RNA", at positions 2479 to 2687 of the family's 2925-position model. The record is from RNAcentral. Lineage: Bacteria; Bacillati; Bacillota; Clostridia; Peptostreptococcales; Peptostreptococcaceae.